Molecule: transfer RNA, 72 nt
Filed under: Hydractinia symbiolongicarpus
Lineage: Eukaryota; Metazoa; Cnidaria; Hydrozoa; Anthoathecata; Hydractiniidae
Description: transfer RNA glutamine (anticodon UUG)
Rfam family: tRNA
About the family: Transfer RNA (tRNA) molecules are approximately 80 nucleotides in length. Their secondary structure includes four short double-helical elements and three loops (D, anti-codon, and T loops).
Source: RNAcentral
GGUUCUAUGGUGUAAUGGUUAGCACUCUGGACUUUGAAUCCAGCGAUCCGAGUUCAAAUCCCGGUAGAACCU